This 406-nucleotide ribosomal RNA is filed under the name uncultured bacterium. RNAcentral describes it as "partial 16S ribosomal RNA". It matches the Rfam family "Bacterial small subunit ribosomal RNA", at positions 28 to 526 of the family's 1533-position model. The record is from RNAcentral.
GAUUAACGCUGGCGGCGUGCAUAACACAUGCAAGUCGAACGAAGUGGCGGACGGGUGAGUAACGCGUGAGUAACCUGCCUUAGAGAAGGGGAUAGCCUUUGGAAACGAAGAAUAAUACCCUAUGCUCUAAGAUGUACUUGCGUCGGAUUAUUUAGUUGGUGUGGUAACGGCCCACCAAGACAGCGAUCAGGAGCCGGCUGGAGAGAGUGUACGGCCACAUUGGGACUGAGACACGGCCCAGACUCUACGGGAGGCAGCAUCGGGGAAUUUCGCCCAAUGGGGGAAACCAUGAUGCAGCGACGCCGCGUGAUGUAGAAGGCCUUCUGGUUGUAAAAAUCUUUUCUAUGGGAAGCAGUACCAUAGGAAUAAGGACCGGCUAAUUACGUGCCAGCAGCCGCGGUAAUAC